AUUGAACGCUGGCGGCAUGCUUUACACAUGCAAGUCGAACGGUAACAGGCCGCAAGGUGCUGACGAGUGGCGAACGGGUGAGUAAUGCAUCGGAACGUGCCCAGUCGUGGGGGAUAACUACUCGAAAGAGUAGCUAAUACCGCAUACGAUCUAUGGAUGAAAGCGGGGAACCGUAAGGCCUCGCGCGAUUGGAGCGGCCGAUGUCAGAUUAGGUAGUUGGUGGGGUAAAGGCUCACCAAGCCAACGAUCUGUAGCUGGUCUGAGAGGACGACCAGCCACACUGGGACUGAGACACGGCCCAGACUCCUACGGGAGGCAGCAGUGGGGAAUUUUGGACAAUGGGCGCAAGCCUGAUCCAGCAAUGCCGCGUGCAGGAAGAAGGCCUUCGGGUUGUAAACUGCUUUUGUACGGAACGAAACGGCUCUGGUUAAUACCCGGGGCUAAUGACGGUACCGUAAGAAUAAGCACCGGCUAACUACGU
Molecule: ribosomal RNA, 481 nt
Filed under: uncultured bacterium
Lineage: Bacteria
Description: partial 16S ribosomal RNA
Rfam family: Bacterial small subunit ribosomal RNA
Source: RNAcentral